UCUGAGAGAGCUCGAUGGCAG
This 21-nucleotide microRNA is filed under the name Homo sapiens (human). RNAcentral's name for it is "hsa-miR-6761-5p". Lineage: Eukaryota; Metazoa; Chordata; Mammalia; Primates; Hominidae. The record is from miRBase by way of RNAcentral.